RNAcentral lists this ribosomal RNA (300 nucleotides) under uncultured Halogeometricum sp. RNAcentral describes it as "bacterial SSU rRNA". The stretch from base 52 to 300 matches the Rfam family "Bacterial small subunit ribosomal RNA", at positions 547 to 795 of the family's 1533-position model. Lineage: Archaea; Methanobacteriati; Methanobacteriota; Halobacteria; Halobacteriales; Haloferacaceae. The record is from RNAcentral.
UGCAAGUCCGGGCAUGGAGCUGGUGAAUGGUGGAGGGUCGGGGGGGUAUCCGGGUUUAUGUGGGUUAAAGGGAGAGUAGGUCGGGGAGUAGGCGUGGUGUGCAAGGUUGAUGCUCAACAUUUGAACUGCAGCGCGAACUGGUUUCCUUGAGUACGCAGAAAGUGGGCGGAAUUCGUGGUGUAGCGGUGAAAUGCUUAGAUAUCACGAAGAACUCCGAUUGCGAAGGCAGCUCACUGGAGCGCAACUGACGCUGAAGCUCGAAAGUGCGGGUAUCGAACAGGAUUAGAUACCCUAGUAGUC